GGGACUUGGCAGUGAACAAAGUGUCAUUCCCAAUCAGAGCGUAGUUUAAACCAUGGAGAAGUCGUCCACCAUGCUUUGUAUAGGAGUUUUGUGGCUAUGCUUUGCAAGUGUUACUGGUAACGUAAGUUAUAUGGUCCAUAAUUCUGUAACUUUAGGACACCUUUCUCCAGAACAAAUGGUUAACACAUCUAAAGAAAUGGUUAUAUUCCAAGACGAGCAUAUUUAUGAGAGAUGGUGGACGACAGAAGAUCUUACAUGUCAGGAGGUAGAGAAAGUAUUAGAUCUGAUGAGAGAUAAAAUGGGGAAUGACCUGAACUUGCUUAUGAUUGAUGCAACAAGACAUUUAAGUAAAGCUAAACGUGUUGGAGACCGUAAAAUAAGGAGGUGCAGCGAAGAUAUUACAGACCAAAUUAAAGACGCUGUUGAAGAUGGGGUUUACAGUUUCUUAAGAUGCACUGCAACGUCUUCAAUAGUACAAAAUGACAUCAGAACAGAUAUGAAGAAGAAAAGAUUGAAAUACAAGAAUGCUAUUAACCAUACGCUAAAUAGCAUAGAUGGCUGUUUAGUGUAUAGCAAUAAAAAUGCAGAAACACAUAGAGAUCAGUGCAUCGAAAAAUUAAUCAACGGAACUCAAAUAGAAACUAAAGAAGCCUGUAAAACAUUCACGGAAAGCAAAUGUAUGGCCCAUUUCACUGAUGAUAUUCUGAGCUGUACUUACAAAGUAUUUAAUGAAAUAGCAGAUAAAAGAGAAAAAUUGUUUAAUGAAAUACGAUCUUGCGUUGGAUAUCAUCAAGUU
Long non-coding RNA from Macrosteles quadrilineatus (aster leafhopper), 796 nucleotides. RefSeq lists it as uncharacterized. Lineage: Eukaryota; Metazoa; Arthropoda; Insecta; Hemiptera; Cicadellidae. The transcript has 4 exons. The record is from RefSeq and is a predicted model, not a curated record.